Non-coding RNA from Podarcis lilfordi (Lilford's wall lizard), 481 nucleotides. Lineage: Eukaryota; Metazoa; Chordata; Lepidosauria; Squamata; Lacertidae. The record is from the annotation of a GenBank genome assembly.
UUUCUCAUGGGAGCCAAGGUCAUCGCCUUUGCAGAGGCCGGAAGGGCAAAGGUAAACAGAGGCAGACGCCUGCAGAUGGCCAGAAGCAGAGGGAGGGUGAAGAGCCCACGCCAGAGAAAAACAAGGCAUUGUUUGCUGGCACAACUUCACCAAAGGCUAAAGGCAAGUCUGAUGGCCAGGAGCAGGGGGGCAAGCUGCAAAAGCCCACGCCAGUGGAAAACAAGGUUUUGUUUGCUGGCACAGCUUCACCAAAGGCUAAAGGCAAGUCUGAUGGCCAGGAGCAGGGGGGCAAGCUGCAAAAGCCCACGCCAGUGGAAAACAAGGUUUUGUUUGCUGGCACAGCUUCACCAAAGGCUAAAGGCAAGUCUGAUGGCCAAGAGCAGGGGGGCAAGCUGCAAAAGCCCACGCCGGUGGAAAACAAGGUUUUGCUUGCUGCAAAGGCUGCUCCAAAGGCCAAAGCCAGGUUUGUUGUUGAUUCAGG